GCAGCAGCAGCCGCGGGAAUACGUAGGUGGCAAGCGUUGUCCGGAAUUAUUGGGCGUAAAGGGCUCGCAGGCGGUUUCUUAAGUCUGAUGUGAAAGCCCCCGGCUCAACCGGGGAGGGUCAUUGGAAACUGGGAAACUUGAGUGCAGAAGAGGAGAGUGGAAUUCCACGUGUAGCGGUGAAAUGCGUAGAGAUGUGGAGGAACACCAGUGGCGAAGGCGACUCUCUGGUCUGUAACUGACGCUGAGGAGCGAAAGCGUGGGGAGCGAACAGGAUUAGAUACCCGCGUAGUCCCUGUCUCUUAUAC
This 305-nucleotide ribosomal RNA is filed under the name uncultured bacterium. Its description in RNAcentral is "partial 16S ribosomal RNA". It matches the Rfam family "Bacterial small subunit ribosomal RNA", at positions 505 to 807 of the family's 1533-position model. The record is from RNAcentral.